Molecule: unclassified non-coding RNA, 396 nt
Filed under: soil metagenome
Description: partial contains 5.8S ribosomal RNA, internal transcribed spacer 2, and large subunit ribosomal RNA
Rfam family: 5.8S ribosomal RNA (bases 1-122)
Source: RNAcentral
GAUGAAGAACGUAGUGAAAUGCGAUACUUGGUGUGAAUUGCAGAAUCCCGUGAACCAUCGAGUCUUUGAACGCAAGUUGCGCCCGAAGCCAUCAGGUUGAGGGCACGUCUGCCUGGGCGUCACAUAUCGUUGCCCAAUGCCUAUUGCAGUGCAAUAGGAAUUUCUAGGGCGAAUGAUGGCUUCCCGUGAGCGUUGUUGCCUCGCGGUUGGUUGAAAAUCGAGUCCUUGGUAGGGUGUGCCAUGGUAGAUGGUGGUCGAGUUAGAACGAUACCGAUCAUGUGCAUGCUCCCCAAAAUAUGGCCUCUAUGACCCACACGCGUCUUUUGACGCUCAUGACGAGACCUCAGGUCAGGCGGGGCUACCCGCUGAAUUUAAGCAUAUCAAUAAGCGGAGGAA